AUACGUAGGGGGCGAGCGUUGUCCGGAAUUACUGGGCGUAAAGGGCGUGUAGGCGGAGCGGCAAGUCAGAAGUGAAAUCUCUGGGCUCAACCCGGAAACUGCUUUUGAAACUGUCGCCCUUGAGUAUCGGAGAGGCAGGCGGAAUUCCUAGUGUAGCGGUGAAAUGCGUAGAUAUUAGGAGGAACACCAGUGGCGAAGGCGGCCUGCUGGACGACAACUGACGCUGAGGCGCGAAAGCGUGGGGAGCAAACAGGAUUAGAUACCCUGGUAGUCCACGUCGUAAACGAUGGAUACUAGGUGUGGGGGGACUGACCCCCUCCGUGCCGCAGUAAACACAAUAAGUAUCCCACCUGGGGAGUACGACCGCAAGGUUGAAACUUAAAGGAAUUGACGGGG
Molecule: ribosomal RNA, 396 nt
Filed under: uncultured bacterium
Lineage: Bacteria
Description: partial 16S ribosomal RNA
Rfam family: Bacterial small subunit ribosomal RNA
Source: RNAcentral